Molecule: ribosomal RNA, 552 nt
Filed under: Craugastor sp. JAC 22117
Lineage: Eukaryota; Metazoa; Chordata; Amphibia; Anura; Craugastoridae
Description: partial large subunit ribosomal RNA
Rfam family: Bacterial large subunit ribosomal RNA
Source: RNAcentral
UAUUGGAGGUCCAGCCUGCCCAGUGACUUAUGUUAAACGGCCGCGGUAUACUAACCGUGCAAAGGUAGCGCAAUCACUUGUUCUCUAAAUAAGGACUUGUAUGAAUGGCAUCACGAGGAUUUAACUGUCUCCUUUUUCCAAUCAGUGAAACUAAUCUCCCUGUGAAAAAGCAGGGAUACUUAUACAAGACGAGAAGACCCUAUGAAGCUUUAAACAUAUAACAUAUGCCCACCACCUACUCUUCCUGAAGCCCAACUAAUAGCAAAUUGAUUAUAAGUUUUUGGUUGGGGUGACCGCGGAGAAAAAUAAAACCCCCGCACUGAUGAACCUAAAUUCAAAACUAAAAGUUACAACUUUACGACUCAAUAAACUGACACAAUUGACCCAAAUAUUUGAUCAAUGAACCAAGUUACUCUAGGGAUAACAGCGCAAUCCACUUCAAGAGCACAUAUCGACAAGUGGGCUUACGACCUCGAUGUUGGAUCAGGAUAUCCUAGUGGUGCAGCCGCUACUAAGGGUUCGUUUGUUCAACGAUUAAAAGCCUACGUGAUC